RNAcentral lists this ribosomal RNA (462 nucleotides) under uncultured bacterium. RNAcentral's name for it is "bacterial SSU rRNA". It matches the Rfam family "Bacterial small subunit ribosomal RNA", at positions 28 to 507 of the family's 1533-position model. The record is from RNAcentral.
GAUGAACGCUAGCGGCGUGCCUAACACAUGCAAGUCGAACGUGAGAGGGUACUUGUAUCCUUGAAAGUGGCGGACGGGUGAGUAAGACGUAGGUGACCUGCCUUGAAGUGGGGAUAACCAUUGGAAACGAUGGCUAAUACCGCAUAAGCUGGUGAUGAUGGGAAUCGUUAUCAGGAAAGCUUUAGUGCUUUGAGAGGGGCCUACGGCCGAUUAGCUAGUUGGUGAGGUAAAGGCUCACCAAGGCGAUGAUCGGUAGCUGGUCUGAGAGGACGAUCAGCCACACGGGAACUGAGACACGGUCCCGACUCCUACGGGGGGCAGCAGUGAGGAAUAUUCGGCAAUGGGGGGCAACCCUGACCGAGCAACGCCGCGUGGAGGAUGACGGUUUUCGGAUUGUAAACUCCUUUUCUCAGGGAAGAGCGAGGGACGGUACCUGGGGAAUAAGUCACGGCUAACUACGUG